GAACGCUGGCGGCGUGCUUAACACAUGCAAGUCGAGCGGUAAGGCCUUUCGGGGUACACGAGCGGCGAACGGGUGAGUAACACGUGGGUGAUCUGCCCUGCACUCUGGGAUAAGCUUGGGAAACUGGGUCUAAUACCGGAUAUGACCACAGCAUGCAUGUGUUGUGGUGGAAAGAUUUAUCGGUGCAGGAUGGGCCCGCGGCCUAUCAGCUUGUUGGUGGGGUAAUGGCCUACCAAGGCGACGACGGGUAGCCGACCUGAGAGGGUGACCGGCCACACUGGGACUGAGACACGGCCCAGACUCCUACGGGAGGCAGCAGUGGGGAAUAUUGCACAAUGGGCGGAAGCCUGAUGCAGCGACGCCGCGUGAGGGAUGAAGGCCUUCGGGUUGUAAACCUCUUUCAGCAGGGACGAAGCGUGAGUGACGGUACCUGCAGAAGAAGCACCGGCUAACUACGUGCCAGCAGCCGCGGUAAUACGUAGGGUGCGAGCGUUGUCCGGAAUUACUGGGCGUAAAGAGUUCGUAGGCGGUUUGUCGCGUCGUUUGUGAAAACCCGGGGCUCAACUUCGGGCUUGCAGGCGAUACGGGCAGACUUGAGUGUUUCAGGGGAGACUGGAAUUCCUGGUGUAGCGGUGAAAUGCGCAAAUAUCAGGAGGAACACCGGUGGCGAAGGCGGGUCUCUGGGAAACAACUGACGCUGAGGAACGAAAGCGUGGGUAGCAAACAGGAUUAGAUACCCUGGUAGUCCACGCCGUAAACGGUGGCCGCUAGGUGUGGGUUCCUUCCACGGGAUCUGUGCCGUA
RNAcentral lists this ribosomal RNA (803 nucleotides) under bacterium PSD-1-8. Its description in RNAcentral is "bacterial SSU rRNA". It matches the Rfam family "Bacterial small subunit ribosomal RNA", at positions 31 to 850 of the family's 1533-position model. The record is from RNAcentral.